RNAcentral lists this ribosomal RNA (225 nucleotides) under uncultured Acinetobacter sp. Its description in RNAcentral is "partial 16S ribosomal RNA". It matches the Rfam family "Bacterial small subunit ribosomal RNA", at positions 568 to 792 of the family's 1533-position model. The record is from RNAcentral. Lineage: Bacteria; Pseudomonadati; Pseudomonadota; Gammaproteobacteria; Moraxellales; Moraxellaceae.
CGCGUAGGUGGCCAAUUAAGUCAAAUGUGAAAUCCCCGAGCUUAACUUGGGAAUUGCAUUCGAUACUGGUUGGCUAGAGUAUGGGAGAGGAUGGUAGAAUUCCAGGUGUAGCGGUGAAAUGCGUAGAGAUCUGGAGGAAUACCGAUGGCGAAGGCAGCCAUCUGGCCUAAUACUGACGCUGAGGUGCGAAGGUGCGGGGAGCAAACAGGAUUAGAUACCCCUGUA